Molecule: transfer RNA, 72 nt
Filed under: Marmota marmota marmota (Alpine marmot)
Lineage: Eukaryota; Metazoa; Chordata; Mammalia; Rodentia; Sciuridae
Also listed under: 2 other names
Rfam family: tRNA
About the family: Transfer RNA (tRNA) molecules are approximately 80 nucleotides in length. Their secondary structure includes four short double-helical elements and three loops (D, anti-codon, and T loops).
Source: Rfam by way of RNAcentral
AGGGUUGUGGCUCAGUGAUAGAGCACUUGCCUGGCAUGUGUGAGGCACUGGGUUCGAUUCUCAGCACCACAU